This 399-nucleotide RNase P RNA is filed under the name Candidatus Falkowiibacteriota bacterium. RNAcentral's name for it is "Candidatus Falkowbacteria bacterium RNase P RNA component class A". It matches the Rfam family "Bacterial RNase P class A". From Rfam's summary of the family: Ribonuclease P (RNase P) is a ubiquitous endoribonuclease, found in archaea, bacteria and eukarya as well as chloroplasts and mitochondria. Lineage: Bacteria; Candidatus Falkowiibacteriota. The record is from RNAcentral.
CCCGGUACGCAGGUGAUUGCUUUAUUUAAAAAAAGAUAAAGAGGAAAGUCCGGACUCCAGAAAAAAGGCAGUGGGUAAUGCCCACCGGAAGUAAUUCCAGGGAAAGUGCCACAGAGACAAUACUACCCGAUCAAAUGAUCGGCGAAAGGUGAAAAGUGAAUUCAAGUCAUUAAUCGGCUAGAAUUCUCGUCGUCUGGUGACAGACUGACGCGGUAAACCCUGCCUGGAGCAAGAGCAAACCUUUUAUUGCCAAUGGCAGUAAAAGAUGAAAAGUAGCUCGCUUGAAUCCUUAAGUAAUUGAGGAUCUAGAUAGAUAAUUACCGUUCGGUUCAAUUUCAGUUGAUUAUAUUAAUUAACUGAGACCGGAUACAGAAUCCGGCUUAUCGCGUGCCGGGUGUU